AUACGUAGGGGGCUAGCGUUGUCCGGAAUGAUUGGGCGUAAAGGGCGCGUAGGCGGCCCGGUAAGUCUGGAGUGAAAGUCCUGUUUUUAAGAUGGGAAUUGCUUUGGAUACUGUCGGGCUUGAGUGCAGGAGAGGUAAGUGGAAUUCCCAGUGUAGCGGUGAAAUGCGUAGAGAUUGGGAGGAACACCAGUGGCGAAGGCGACUUACUGGACUGUAACUGACGCUGAGGCGCGAAAGUGUGGGGAGCAAACAGGAUUAGAUACCCUGGUAGUCCACACUGUAAACGAUGAAUGCUAGGUGUAGGGGGUAUCGACCCCUUCUGUGCCGCAGUCAACACAAUAAGCAUUCCGCCUGGGGAGUACGGCCGCAAGGUUGAAACUCAAAGGAAUUGGCGGGG
This 397-nucleotide ribosomal RNA is filed under the name uncultured bacterium. Its description in RNAcentral is "partial 16S ribosomal RNA". It matches the Rfam family "Bacterial small subunit ribosomal RNA", at positions 523 to 918 of the family's 1533-position model. The record is from RNAcentral.